Molecule: ribosomal RNA, 465 nt
Filed under: Echinococcus granulosus
Lineage: Eukaryota; Metazoa; Platyhelminthes; Cestoda; Cyclophyllidea; Taeniidae
Rfam family: Eukaryotic small subunit ribosomal RNA
Source: RNAcentral
UCAACAAGGUGGUGGUGUCGCCUUUAAGCCAUGUCUGUGGUGUAGUCGUCGCAGGUGUGGGCGGGUGUUGGGCAGUGCCCUGCACACGAGUUGGAGCCUAUCAACACGUCUGAUUUGGUGUCUGCGGUCGGAUGGCACGUGUACAUUGCACGAAUUAAUGCGCCCUAGUCAGGCCGAUGUUGCCUGUAAAGUUUUGCAUGGAAUAAUGGAAGAGGACUUCGGUUCUAUUUCGUUGGUUUUCGGAUCUGAGGUGGAAAUCAGAGGAUACGUGAAAUUCAUGGACCGUAGCCAGACAAACUAAAGCGAAGGCAUUCGUCAAGCAUGUUUUCAUUGGCCAUGAGCGAAAGUCAGAGGCUCGAAGACGAUCAGAUACCGUCCUAGUUCUGACCAUAAACGAUGCCAACUGACGAUCCGUGGUGGUAGUGAUGUUGCCUUCCCCACGGGCAGUCCGGGGAAGGUUUGGCU